UUCAUUUUAUCGGGGGCGCUACAUCUUUAAUAAAUGCAGGAGGUUCUAUAACAGACGGUAUUGAUCAGUGAUAGUGAUACACUAUCUUCAGCUGACUUGGUGAACCCACUUCAUUUCGGGGACAUGUAUCUUUUGUUUUUCAUGUAUUAUGUUUUGAGGUAUAGUCGGGGACUUAUUGUCGAUAUUUCCAUAUUACCCUUUAGUUGUACUUAGAUGCUCCGUAGACAGGUUGUGGAUGGUGUUUGAUGUUGGGAAUUGAAUUAGAAUUGUUGGUAUUUAGC
RNAcentral lists this long non-coding RNA (281 nucleotides) under Nicotiana benthamiana. RNAcentral describes it as "long non-coding RNA (NBEN_LNC020205)". The record is from RNAcentral. Lineage: Eukaryota; Viridiplantae; Streptophyta; Magnoliopsida; Solanales; Solanaceae.